UNGAAUGUCUUAGCAUCUUUGCAUCUUGUGCC
Molecule: non-coding RNA, 32 nt
Filed under: Mus musculus (house mouse)
Lineage: Eukaryota; Metazoa; Chordata; Mammalia; Rodentia; Muridae
Source: RNAcentral